This 93-nucleotide transfer RNA is filed under the name Coriobacteriia bacterium. RNAcentral describes it as "tRNA-Ser". It matches the Rfam family "tRNA". Rfam says of the family: Transfer RNA (tRNA) molecules are approximately 80 nucleotides in length. Their secondary structure includes four short double-helical elements and three loops (D, anti-codon, and T loops). Lineage: Bacteria; Bacillati; Actinomycetota; Coriobacteriia. The record is from RNAcentral. RNAcentral also lists the same sequence under 2 other names.
GGAGGAGUGGCCGAGAGGUCGUAAGGCGGCAGUCUCGAAAACUGUUUGGCCACGUUAGUGGUCACGAGGGUUCGAAUCCCUCCUCCUCCGCCA